CUGAUUUGGGUAAAUUGAGAAAUCUAGGGUUUUGAAUAAAACUCUCUUUCUCUCUGUUUUGGUGCAGAAACUGAUGGGGAUUCAGGCGGCCUCAUCGUAGGGUCUCAGGAGGCAACGAGCAAACCGCUCGCCUCAGCCAUUCACGCGGCUUCAAGGCGGAGAUGAAACAUCAAGCGAGCUGCUUAAACCAACCAGUGCAUCAACCAUCUGAUCCUAACCCUUCCAUGCGACUUCGAUUCGAUUUCGUGAGGCAGCGACCAAAACGCCUGGUCAUCCAAAAUUAGAAUCGCUGCUAUUCUGAUUCUUCGCUGUAUGUUUCAAUCGACUUGAAGUGUCCUCGUGAGGCUAAGAUGAGACUGACUGGUUUUUCAGUUACAAGGUUUACCUAUUUUAACUCACAAUCUGAUCAUUUCCAUGUAUAUUGACGUGUUUGGCUGUAUAUAUAUCUGAUUCUAAAAAGAAUCGAUUUUGAAACCUUAAUUUUCCAAACUUACACUUCUCAUUUUUGGUGAUGAAUCUAAUCAACCGAAUUACUGGUGAGGAUGAUUAAUAUCCAUUUAAUUACCAAACAACAUACUAGAAUGAAGUUUAGAAGUGUUGAUUUGUUUAACAGAUAAAGCAGGCUAUGUGAGUGCUUUGGGUUUGCUCAUGACAAUGCUAUCUUUGAUGUAUGUUGGAUGAAGCUACAGAAAAAUCUAAUCAUUCAAUCACAGUUACAUAUAUUUACUGUCCUUUUUAUUGCUGGAAGGGAAGAGACAUUUGAAUCCAAAGGGAGAAAGAAAGUUGUGUUCCAAAUGGACCAAGUAAUGAGUUGAAGCCUAUACCAUUUGCUGAAAUUGUCACAAAGUUGGGAGGAUUUGAAAACUGAAAAUUUGAGGUUGUGUUGUUAAUUUGUGCAUCUAUGCUAUGACUUCAUCUUUUGAGUUAAACACGACACUACAUGUUGAUUUUGGCUCACAAUUAUGUCAUAUUUGGUAUUUCACUUCAUCUAAUAAUUAGUGUGGUAUUCUGUCACUAAUGAUGCUAAGAUAGUCCUUAGGAACAUUAAACUGAUAGUUUAUGUUUGUCAACAUACUGAAGGAUGAGUAGUUUAGUGAUAGAAAUAGGAGACUAGGAUUUGCAUUUUGCAAUCCAUUAAAUUUGUACUUUUUAGGUGUAGUACAAAUCAGUUGCAAUGAAUGAGAGCCAUCAUGCAAGAAAAUUCCAAUGAUGA
RNAcentral lists this long non-coding RNA (1213 nucleotides) under Lactuca sativa (garden lettuce). RNAcentral's name for it is "long non-coding RNA (LSAT_LNC001331)". The record is from RNAcentral. Lineage: Eukaryota; Viridiplantae; Streptophyta; Magnoliopsida; Asterales; Asteraceae.